UGGGGAAUAUUGCACAAUGGGCGCAAGCCUGAUGCAGCCAUGCCGCGUGUAUGAAGAAGGCCUUCGGGUUGUAAAGUACUUUCAGCGGGGAGGAAGGGAGUAAAGUUAAUACCUUUGCUCAUUGACGUUACCCGCAGAAGAAGCACCGGCUAACUCCGUGCCAGCAGCCGCGGUAAUACGGAGGGUGCAAGCGUUAAUCGGAAUUACUGGGCGUAAAGCGCACGCAGGCGGUUUGUUAAGUCAGAUGUGGAAUCCCCGGGCUCAACCUGGGAACUGCAUCUGAUACUGGCAAGCUUGAGUCUCGUAGAGGGGGGUAGAAUUCCAGGUGUAGCGGUGAAAUGCGUAGAGAUCUGGAGGAAUACCGGUGGCGAAGGCGGCCCCCUGGACGAAGACUGACGCUCAGGUGCGAAAGCGUGGGGAGCAAACAGG
RNAcentral lists this ribosomal RNA (429 nucleotides) under Chloroflexota bacterium. Its description in RNAcentral is "Chloroflexi bacterium partial 16S ribosomal RNA". It matches the Rfam family "Bacterial small subunit ribosomal RNA", at positions 355 to 776 of the family's 1533-position model. Lineage: Bacteria; Bacillati; Chloroflexota. The record is from RNAcentral.